Molecule: long non-coding RNA, 1005 nt
Filed under: Phasianus colchicus (ring-necked pheasant)
Lineage: Eukaryota; Metazoa; Chordata; Aves; Galliformes; Phasianidae
Description: lncRNA (ENSPCLG00000017565.1)
Source: RNAcentral
UUUGGGUAAAAAUUGCCAUUUUUGGAAUCAUUGGGGGCGAAUUUGGGUCAAAAAAUGCCAUUUUGGGGUCAUGGGGGCCAUUUUGGGGUGGAAAAUGCCAUUUUUGGGGUCAUGGGGAGCCAUUUUGGGGUGGAAAAUGGCAUUUUGGGAUCAUUGGGGGCCGUUUUGGGGUGGAAAAUGCCGUUUGGGGGUCAUUGGGCACCAUUUUAGGUUGAAAAAUGCCAUUUUGGGGUCAUUGGGAGCCACUUUGGGUCAAAAAAUCCCAUUUUGGUGCCAUUUUGGGAGCAUUUGGAGUCAAUGGGUGCCACUUUGGGUCAAAAAAUGCCAUUUUGGGGUCAUUGGGAGCCAUUUUGGGGUCAUUUGGGGUGAAAAAUGCCAUUUUAGGGUCAUUGGGUGCCACUUUGGGUCAAAAAAUGCCAUUUUGGGGUCAUUGGGAGCCAUUUUAGGUUGAAAAAUGCCAUUUUGGGGUCAGUGGGCGCCAUUUUGUGUCAGAAAUCCCCCUUUUGGGGUCAUCGGGUGCCAUUUUGGGAUGAAAAACGCCAUUUUGGGGCCACUGGUUGCCACUGUGGGUCAGGAAAUGCCCCUCGGGGGCCACAUUGCCCCGAUUUUGGGGUAAAAAAGGCCGAUUUUGGUGCAUUCUGCCCUCAGAGCUCCGGUGCCCACAGAGUUUGACUUCGAGGACGAACCCACGGCGCCUCGCAGCGCCCUGAUGGAGCGCCGCCGCACCCCAGGUCCCACAGAUUUGGGUCAAAUUCCCCCGGAUUUGGGUUUCUCUCUUGUUUGGGGUCGUUUCUGCCCUUUUUGGGGUCGUUUCUGCCUCUUUUUGGGGCCGUUUCUGCCUCUUUUUGGGGUCGUUUCUGCCCUUUUUGGGGCCGUUUCUGCCUCUUUUUGGGGUCGUUUCUGCCUCUUUUUGGGGUCGUUUCUGCCUCUUUUGGGGCCAGUUUUGGGCCAAAUUCCCCCCAAUUUGGGUUUCUCUCUUUUUUGAGGGCUGUCUCUGCCUCUUUU